Molecule: unclassified non-coding RNA, 250 nt
Filed under: plant metagenome
Description: partial contains small subunit ribosomal RNA, internal transcribed spacer 1, and 5.8S ribosomal RNA
Source: RNAcentral
GUAGGUGAACCUGCGGAGGGAUCAUUCACAUGAUAUACUUUAAUAAACAAACUGUGAACUUUAUAUAAUACUAUUCGUGUUUGUGUGAACUUUACUGUUCAUAUCAAACAUUGUCAUUCGAUUGAACAUAAGAUAGUUGGCUUGAAAUAUUUUAAAUAUUUCUUUCUCAGCUUUGAUUUGAUAUAACUAAACAUUUUAUCACUUCAACCAUUAAAACAUAGAAACAACUCUAUGCCCUGGAUAUCUUGGU